Molecule: ribosomal RNA, 505 nt
Filed under: uncultured bacterium
Lineage: Bacteria
Description: partial 16S ribosomal RNA
Rfam family: Bacterial small subunit ribosomal RNA
Source: RNAcentral
GACGAACGCUGGCGGCGUGCCUAAUACAUGCAAGUAGAACGCACAGUUUAUACCGUAGCUUGCUACACCAUAGACUGUGAGUUGCGAACGGGUGAGUAACGCGUAGGUAACCUGCCUGGUAGCGGGGGAUAACUAUUGGAAACGAUAGCUAAUACCGCAUAAUAUUAAUUAUUGCAUGAUAAUUAAUUGAAAGGUGCAAUUGCACCACUACCAGAUGGACCUGCGUUGUAUUAGCUAGUAGGUGAGGUAACGGCUCACCUAGGCGACGAUACAUAGCCGACCUGAGAGGGUGAUCGGCCAAACUGGGACUGAGACACGGCCCAGACUCCUACGGGAGGCAGCAGUAGGGAAUGUUCGGCAAUGGACGAAAGUCUGACCGCGCAACGCCGCGUGAGUGAAGAAGGUUUUCGGAUCGUAAAGCUCUGUUGUAAGAGAAGAACGGGUGUGAGAGUGGAAAGUUCACACUGUGACGGUAUCUUACCAGAAAGGGACGGCUAACUACGUG